This 253-nucleotide ribosomal RNA is filed under the name uncultured bacterium. RNAcentral describes it as "partial 16S ribosomal RNA". It matches the Rfam family "Bacterial small subunit ribosomal RNA", at positions 524 to 776 of the family's 1533-position model. The record is from RNAcentral.
UACGAAGGGGGCUAGCGUUGCUCGGAAUCACUGGGCGUAAAGGGUGCGUAGGCGGGUCUUUAAGUCAGGGGUGAAAUCCUGGAGCUCAACUCCAGAACUGCCUUUGAUACUGAGGAUCUUGAGUUCGGGAGAGGUGAGUGGAACUGCGAGUGUAGAGGUGAAAUUCGUAGAUAUUCGCAAGAACACCAGUGGCGAAGGCGGCUCACUGGACCAUUACUGACGCUGAGGCACGAAAGCUAGGGGAGCAAACGGG